Molecule: long non-coding RNA, 710 nt
Filed under: Androctonus crassicauda
Lineage: Eukaryota; Metazoa; Arthropoda; Arachnida; Scorpiones; Buthidae
Source: RNAcentral
AUUUUGAAAACGGUCGUAUUUUACAGGAACGAAUAUUUCUACCUUAUUUGAAAGAUGACGUCAACGGUUGUUUGUCGGCAAGUCGAGCGGAACGUUAUCGAUAAUCUAUCGUGUUUGCUUAUAAGAUAUCGCUAUCGAAACCGUAUUAAAUGCUUCGUAAUGCAACAUCCGAUCCGAAAAGUACGCUUUUAUUACACCUUGCUCGGGAAAAUAUUAACCAAUAAGAAAGCUCCUUUCACUAUAACUCAUUUUAAAAGUGAAGUACUAGUUCAAAAGUUGCCACAUCACACGAUGUUAUUACAUAAGUUUUAUUAAUGUUUUAUGUAUAUUUGGCGAAUCUGUAAUUUUACUUCCGUUUCUCCAAAAGUAGACAUAUCUUCCAUGUGAAGAAGCGAUUUAUGUCAUUAUAAAUUACUUAAAAUAAUACUUUUAAAUGGCUGCAGUGAAUAAAUAUUUAACGAGAAUCGUUGCGUUUUUUAGAAAAGGCAGAGGUGAGUACUGUAUUCUUUAACCGGUUCGCAGUAUAUGUUAACGAUAAAUUAUUUGUUUGUUAUUGUUUAUAUUUACGUAAAGAAUUAAUCUGUUUAUUGCACAUGAAACUGUCAAGGCCGAGUUGCAUCGUGCCGAAAGGGAUGGAAGUCUGCGAAUGUUUAAAAAAAAAAAAAAAAAGAAAACUUUUAUGAAUUACAUGGCACUGUCCCAAGUUGUAA